UACGAAGGGGGCUAGCGUUGCUCGGAAUCACUGGGCGUAAAGGGCGCGUAGGCGGGCUCUUAAGUCAGGGGUGAAAGCCCAAGGCUCAACCUUGGAAUUGCCUUUGAUACUGAGGGCCUUGAGACCGGAAGAGGUCGGCGGAACUGCGAGUGUGGAGGUGAAAUUCGUAGAUAUUCGCAAGAACACCAGUGGCGAAGGCGGCCGACUGGUCCGGUUCUGACGUUGAGGCGCGAAAGCGUGGGGAGCAAACAGG
Molecule: ribosomal RNA, 253 nt
Filed under: uncultured bacterium
Lineage: Bacteria
Description: partial 16S ribosomal RNA
Rfam family: Bacterial small subunit ribosomal RNA
Source: RNAcentral